UCAUGGAACUUCCUGUUAAAUACUAUGAGUAGAAAUAGUCACCUCACUGUUGCAGCAGGAGAAACAGAGACCAUGAUAAAUAUGAAGAAUCUCCUGUAUUUAAUAUCUGUGUUGUCUUUGUUUCAGUGUGUGACAUGUCAGAUCUCCCUGACACAGCCUGGUACUGUCACUGUGAAGCCAUCAGAGGUUCUUCAGUUGACCUGUAAAGUGACCGGAGCCUCCCUCACUGACGGCUCUAAAGUAUAUGCAGUUGACUGGGUCCGUCAGCCUGUGGGGAAAGGGCUGGAGUGGCUGGGAAGGAUAAAGUAUGGUGCUGGCACAGACUAUGCCCAGUCUUUGCAGGGACGCAUCACAGUAUCAAGAGACACAAAUAAAGGAGAAGUUUAUUUAAAACUCACUGGAAUGAAACCAGAGGAAACUGCUGUAUAUUACUGUACUGGAGAAGCACAGUGGGACAUAUAUUAUGAAAACAUGUAUAAAAACAUGUCCUGAUAGCCAUAGUCAUUAUUACACAAAGCAACAGUUAAAAAAAACUAUGUUGCAUUGUUAAUUUGUUAAAAUAUAUGAAAUUGGUUAUAUAAAUAACAAUCACUUCCCUAUUUAGCCAAACACUGUGAGAAUUUAUUAAAAGGUAAAGGAAUAUGCACCAGGUCCACCUCUCAUUUUGCAGUAAAGUUGGCCUAUACUUACCCCCUAAUUUGCCCAUCUUUAUUUAGCAAAGAAAAAAAAUGAAGCUUAGUCCUAAGCAGUUGGUGAAAGUGUUUUGUCCACAAAUAGUAUUUUGAAUGGACAAUAGUAGAUUUUAAAUGCUUUUAAAGUGUGGUUAGUGCCCUACAUGAAUAAUUUCUA
Xenopus laevis (African clawed frog) is the source of this 849-nucleotide non-coding RNA. The record is from the annotation of a RefSeq genome assembly. Lineage: Eukaryota; Metazoa; Chordata; Amphibia; Anura; Pipidae.